Molecule: ribosomal RNA, 635 nt
Filed under: Coprinopsis udicola
Lineage: Eukaryota; Fungi; Basidiomycota; Agaricomycetes; Agaricales; Psathyrellaceae
Description: LSU rRNA
Rfam family: Eukaryotic large subunit ribosomal RNA
Source: RNAcentral
CCCUAGUAACUGCGAGUGAAGCGGGAAAAGCUCAAAUUUAAAAUCUGGCGGUCUUCGGCCGUCCGAGUUGUAAUCUAGAGAAGUGUUACCCGUGCUGGACCGUGUAUAAGUCUCCUGGAAUGGAGCGUCAUAGAGGGUGAGAAUCCCGUCUUUGACACGGACUACCAGUGCUUUUGUGGUGCGCUCUCAAAGAGUCGAGUUGUUUGGGAAUGCAGCUCAAAAUGGGUGGUAAAUUCCAUCUAAAGCUAAAUAUUGGCGAGAGACCGAUAGCGAACAAGUACCGUGAGGGAAAGAUGAAAAGAACUUUGGAAAGAGAGUUAAACAGUACGUGAAAUUGCUGAAAGGGAAACGCUUGAAGUCAGUCGCGUUGGCCGGAAAUCAACCUUGCUUCUGUUGGGUGUACUUUCUGGUUGACGGGCCAGCAUCAGUUUUGACCGGUGGAAAAAGGUCAAGGGAAUGUGGCAUCUUCGGAUGUGUUAUAGCCCUUGGUCGUAUACAUCGGUUGGGACUGAGGAAUUCAGCACGCCGAAAGGCCGGGUCUUUGACCACGUUCGUGCUUANGAUGCUGGCAUAAUGGCUUUAAUCGACCCGUCUUGAAACACGGACCAAGGAGUCUAACAUGCCUGCGAGUAUUU